This 65-nucleotide transfer RNA is filed under the name Antarctonemertes valida. RNAcentral describes it as "tRNA-Pro". Lineage: Eukaryota; Metazoa; Nemertea; Enopla; Monostilifera; Oerstediidae. The record is from RNAcentral.
UCAAAAAACAAAUUUACUUUGAUUGUUAGCUUCCAAAGCUAAUAUUUUUUUUAAAUUAUUUUUUG